UUAUAGACCAAUUUGGGCAUGGUUAAACUUAUGAUUGGUGAUAAUUAUUCCAUGAACUCCACAUGGAAGAAAGGCAUGAAUGAGGUUUAUUAGUUUUCCUAACACUCAAUUGCGACUCCCUACUUACUUCUUACAAAAAAGCGUAAUGGGAUAGAAUCAAUUCUAAUUCAAGGUCUCCCAAACAGUCAGGAAUUCAAAUCCUACUACACCUUAACAAUUGUAAAGUCCUUGGAUUUUAAAUGGCCAUGGGCAUUGAAGGAGAGGACCCCUUACGAUGGGAACCCCCUCCUUACAACCUUCAAUUUAUGGUUUCAAACAAUACACAAUUACUAAACAAAAAAUGCAAAAUACAUGAACAUCAAAUACACAAUCUUUAAACGAGCCCUAACUCAUUUCGUAAAUAUAGGAACAUCAAAUACACAAUCUUUCACUAGUAGAAUAAACUUGAUGGGCAGCCACAAAUGGCAAGCGGUUUUUGAAUUCCGCUUGCCAAAAUAUAAAUGGAAAGCGAUUUUGGAUGAACCGCUUGCCAAAAUGCAAAUGGCAAGCAGUUUUGGAUGAACCGCUAGCCAAAAUGUAAAUGGCAAGCGGUUUGAGCAUUGAAACGCUUGCCAUUGGUUAAAAAAAAAACCCUUACAAAUUAGAAACCCAUCCUCUCUCUCCCCUCAUUUUCACGGUUCUCCUAUCUCUCUCCUCUAAACUUCUUACGCUCUCUCUCCUCUCUUCCUCCAUUACGCCUCACUUAUCUCUUUCCCUUCCCCUCCAUCUCCUUGUCUUUCUUCUCUCAACCUCCCUUCUGUCCUUUCUCACGCCUCACCACAACAGCUACGAGUGACCAGCAACCUUCGACGAGCGACCGGCGACGAGAAGAAGGCGGUAAGGUUCAGAUCUUCCGACUUGGCGUUUGGGUAUUACGCUGCUUCUCAUGUCAGUCUCGCUUUAAUUUCCGAUACGGGUGAAUCGGGAUAGGGUGUUGGUGGUGGUGAUACGGGUCAAGGUGGUGGCGGUGAUAGGUGGCGCGCGUGGCUGGUGGUUUGCAUGCUGGUGGUGGAACUGUAACAAGAGCAGAAAAUCAGAAAAUUAAGUUAUUUAUUAAUUAAUGUAUUGUAUUUUUUUUAAGGAUCAGAAAAUGUAAUAUUGAAGAAAUUGAUUAAUGAAAAUAGUUAUGUUUAUACAUAUGUUAAGUUCUUGUGUAUCAA
Molecule: long non-coding RNA, 1199 nt
Organism: Chenopodium quinoa (quinoa)
Lineage: Eukaryota; Viridiplantae; Streptophyta; Magnoliopsida; Caryophyllales; Amaranthaceae
Exons: 2
Source: RefSeq, a predicted model, not a curated record